This 1198-nucleotide long non-coding RNA is filed under the name Macaca mulatta (Rhesus monkey). RNAcentral's name for it is "lncRNA (ENSMMUG00000057156.1)". The record is from RNAcentral. Lineage: Eukaryota; Metazoa; Chordata; Mammalia; Primates; Cercopithecidae.
AUAGGCUGCACUUCUACUGUUUGUUUAGCUGUAGAGCCCUUGCUACAAGCGUUUCACCAAACAUACUUUGGGAAAUAGAGUCUUACUUGAAUGAAGAUUCAUCCUGCUGAUUUUUCUAAGUCAUCAACACCAAAAGACUCAAAAUCUAUACUUCUCUCAACUAAACUAGAAAUAGUUUGAUAUUUAUAUUGUUAUAAGCUCUUACCCAAAGAGUGUUGAAACUUGAAUUGAUUUUAUAUUUCCUUUCUAGAUUAUUAAAAACUCCAAUUUGUGUCUGUGUAACUCAACGUGGGAACCUGGAACCAUGUUUACUCUUCUGAUGACCCUGAAAGUAGCACCUGCCUGUGAUGGCUGUGCAUUGGUAAGUCCUAAACGUAGCCUGCAUGCUCUGCUCUGCCGUCCUCAGCCCUCUGUCCCCUUCCCCAGCUGCCAUGACCAACUUCCCUGUGCAUAACAAGGUGUUAGUCAUCAACUGGGUGCUGGGGUGAGGGAGGAAGAGUCAAAUGGGAUUGAACAGUGUUGAGUUGACGUGAGCAAAAAAGACACCACUAAUGGAGGAAAAAUGAUAUGUAAGAUGAUAUUACACAUGGCUUUUUAAAGCAUAGGGGACUGGUGGUCAGUAAAGAACUGAAUGCAGUCAGAAUAAGAAGAUCAAGUAACUUCACUGACUUUUAAAAAAUACAUACAUUUUUAAUAGUUUUCUUCAUUUAAAAGUAACAUUUAUUUUAAGCAAUUUAGAAAAUUUCUCUCAGAGAAGUGAAAAGAGAGAGAAAAAGUUUACACAUAUUCUGAUCACAGAAUAACUGGCGCACUGCGCAAGUGGAAAUCCCCAAAGUGUAAACAAACAACCUCCGAACUAUUUUUCAAACUGUUGUUCAAGUUGACUCAAACCUGCUCUCUGCCUGGUACUGUUUUGUUCCUUUGGUAAAUCUAGGGCAGAUGUCUUGACUCCCUUUUUCCCUGUCAAAUGAGGAAAGUUCUCUUAUAACUUUUAAUCACAAAACAAACUCUGUCAGUGAUUUAAUUAAUUAAUUAAUUUGUUUAUUGAGAUGGAGUCUCACUCACUCUGUCAUGCAGGCUGGAGUGCAGUGGUGAGAUCAUGGCUCACUUCAACCUCCACCUCCCUGUUCAAGUGAUUCUCCUGCCUCAGCCUCCUAAGUAGCUGGGACUACAGGUGCCUGCCACCACACCUGGCUAG